This 2320-nucleotide unclassified non-coding RNA is filed under the name Hevea brasiliensis (rubber tree). The record is from RNAcentral. Lineage: Eukaryota; Viridiplantae; Streptophyta; Magnoliopsida; Malpighiales; Euphorbiaceae.
UUUUUUUGAAGAUAAAAUAGAAACAGAUAUAUUUAAAAAAUCCAUAAUCAGAAUUCAAAAAUACGAAGUACAUUAUAGCAAUGAUAUAGAAUAGAAAUGACACAAGGAAUAAGCUGUAAUGUAUGUUCUCCAAAACCUACGGUAAUAUGUAAUUAGAGUAAAAUGGACGACAAAAAUAGUGGACUAAGCCCGAACAAUAGCCAGAGUUCAAACAGUCAGUGACCAUAGUUCGAUCACUUACUCUCUCUAGCACCAGGCGUGGUCUUAGCUAACGUUACUUAGGUCUUACUGGUGAUCAAGAAGCCUUCACUUUCUCUCCUCAGCUACCGUGAUGGGGCCCCUGCUGAUGUUUUUCACCAUUACGCCUUGGCGCUGAACCACCAAGAGGAAAUAGUGAUACCAUCACACUUUCUAAUAUAGAACACAUUGAUCUUAAUUUUAAUCACCCAAUCCAGCCCUUUUCUUCAAGUGUUUCUUGAAAUCCAUGAUGCCACCCUCCCAUCGUGUCACAGCCUGAUUUUCACAUACCCAUAUCUCAUGGGCCACCUGGUUUAUGAGCCUAAAGUCGUGACUCACUAGAACCAUCCCACCAUCCCAUGCGUUCAAGGCCUCUGCAAGUGAGUCAAUGGUUUCAAUAUCAAGAUGGUUGGUUGGCUCAUCCAACAGCAGCAUGUGGGGUUGCCUAAAAGCCAACCAUGCAAAAAUCACUCGACUACGUUGACCAUCUGACAAGUUCUUCAUUGCCAUUACUUGAGCUUUACCUGUGAGUCCAAACCUCCCAAUUGCUGCCCUCAUCUUCUCCUCCUCGUUCCCAGGGUACUCUCUCAUCAUAAACAAAAGAGCUGACACCUCCAUGUCUAGCUUCUCAGCCAAGUGCUGGUGGUACUGCGCAAUUUUUAGGUGAUUAUGCCGCUUAACCAUGCCAUCAGUGGGAAAUAAAUCCCCUAUCAUCAGCUUAAGCAGUGUGCUCUUUCCAGCUCCAUUAGGCCCCACAAGUGCUAUCCUGGAGUCGAGAUCUACACCAAAAUCAAGGUUCUUGUAGAUGAGGUUAUCAGGUGUGUAGCCAAAAGCAACUUCUGAAAACUGUAGAACUGGAGGAGGAAGUUUGCCGACAUCAGUAAACCGGAAAACCAGGACACUGUCCCUCCCCACCUUCUCAGUAAGCCCACCACGCUCCAUCUUAGCCAAUGUCUUCUCUUUACUCUGUGCUUGACGGGCUAGUUUAGCUGAACCGUGCCCAAAGCGAGCAAUGUAUUCCUUCAUUGCAGAAAUCUGCUCCUGCUCCCACUUGUACUGUUUCAUCUGGUUUUCUUCCAGCUCUGAACGGGUUUGCACAUAUUGGUCGUAGUUACCUGUAUAGAGUUUUAACUUCUUGUUUUGCAUGUGGAUGAUAUUGGUACACACACCAUUGAGAAAAUCCUGUGAGUGUGAAAUGACAACCAGAAUGCGCUCAAAGUUCUUCAAGGAUUCUUCUAACCACACACAGGCCUCUAGGUCAAGAUGGUUUGUUGGCUCAUCAAGCAACAAAAUUGUUGGAUUCAUAAAGAGGGCACGGGCAAGAGCAAUCCUCAUCCUCCAGCCACCGGAAAAAUCACGUGUUUUCUUUGCUUGCAUUUUCUUAUCAAAUCCAAGCCCAAACAAGAUUUCAGCAGCACGUUUCUCAGCAGUGGCAGCAUCCAUAGCUUCUAAACGCUCAUAGAUCCGUUCAAGUUGCUCUCCACCACCAUCGUCCUGUCCAGCCAAAGCUUCAGCUUCUUUCUCCAAUUGCAACCUCUCUUCAUCACAAUUAAUGACAGCCUCGAGAGAGGUCAUGUCAGAGGCUUCAAUCUCCCGAGAAAGAUGAAAAAUAUCCAUGUGGUCUGGGAUGGGAAGUUCCCUCAACCCUAUAGCAGUAAGAAGAGUAGACUUCCCGCAGCCAUUCAAUCCCAACAAACCAUAACGUCUGCCAUAGUUGAGCUCCAGUUCAGAAUCAACGAUGAGAUCAUGUCCGUGGAAAGUGACUGAUAAUGACUCUAUCCGAAUAUCCCUCGAUAGCGGAUGUGAACACAAAACACCCGUACAAGUCCGAUCAGAUAUCUGUAGAUCCCCUACUCCAUUCGUCAAAUUAUCAACCCCGUUACUUUCCACCGCCGAUUUAGACGCGGUUGCAGCCGAUUUAGGCGCUGCCGCACCUUUACCUCCUCUCCUAGCAGCUGCCGCCGCCUUCUUCUGCGCAUCUCUCUUCUUCGCCGCAUCCGACACCAUCUUUGAAAUCGUAAGAUCUACGGAUUUGGAGAAAUUUGUUAUAGAAGAGAGGAACGAGGGUUUUUUGAAAGAGCAU